Molecule: RNA transcript, 6032 nt
Organism: Onychostoma macrolepis
Lineage: Eukaryota; Metazoa; Chordata; Actinopteri; Cypriniformes; Cyprinidae
Gene name: G2/M phase-specific E3 ubiquitin-protein ligase-like
Exons: 6
Source: RefSeq, a predicted model, not a curated record
AAAAAGCAUGAGAUCCUUCUCCAGAAUUAGCAAACUGGCUGCCAGCAUCAUCUGAUCACAAAUGUUCAGUUUCAUUUCAACAGACCUCUGAGAUGUUAAAAAUGCUCGUUUGCCAGGGAUUCUUCUAAAACUUCAGAGCCAAUGAUAUAACCGAAACCAAUGUACUGAAUGAUACUGAAGAAAGUGAUGGAACAGACAUAUGUCCAAAACUAUUUAAGGCACAUCAAGAGAUUAAAAGCAUUGCUGAUGUCAUCAAAAGCCUUUCUGAAAGGAUGGAUGAAACCAGCAUCUUCAGUAUUUGCAUUACCAGAGAUCAGAUGCUUGAGAGAGGCCUAAAACAAUGGCAGCGACAGAAAAAAUCUUCCCCCAAAAAUCCUCUCAGAGUUUCUUUUAAUGGAGAGGCUGGCAUUGACAAUGGCGCUUUGAGGAAGGAAUUUUUAACUGAAAUGAUGACUGGAAUAGAGAAGCGGUUCUUUGAGGGAGGAGAAAAUGGCAAAACCCCCAAAUAUUCAAUGACGGACAUGGACAAACACAACUUCAAAACUAUUGGGGAGAUAUUUUCUGUCAGCAUCACACAAGGUGGGCCACCACCAAACUUUUUUAUGGAGUGGUGUUACAACUACAUAUCCACGGGAGAAAUGGAUCCGGAAGUAAUAACUGAAAGGGACGUCACAGACCCUGAACUCAUGGAGCUAAUAAAAGAGGUAGGUUAUUUAAAUGUGGUGAAAGUGCAUUGUCAAUCAUAAUUUUGUUUAUGUAGUUCUUCUUCUUCUUCUUAACAUUCUUUUUUUUUUUGUAUUCUUGUAAACUUAAAACAAUAAACUAAGGUACCUUUAUAUUGUAUGUGUGACUUGAGUAAAUGUGGUUUUGAUCAAAGAUUAAGGCAGCUGACCACACAACCCUGAUGGAGUGCACAGACAGGAUUUUGUUAUGUGGAUACACGGGGGCAGUGUCCAUUGAAAGAAAAGAAGACAUUAUGUGGGAAGACGUCUCCUUUAAUGCAGGCUUACCUUGUAGAAUUUAUUAGGGGUUCAAGCACGAAGUGCUGAAACCCUCUUGUAAUUGUAAGGAUUUUUUUAUUAUUAUUUUUCUCCGGUAAAACUGAUCGUGCAGCCCAAACCGUAAGGCGUAGAGAGCUGAAACUUGGUCAGAUUGUAGUAGUAUUGCUCGCUACUCAGAUACAAAGCCUCGCCCCAAUCGGCCUAACGGUGGCACUACAGCGCAAAAACCUAAAAUUUUACACAUUUUUGGCCGUAGCUCAUACACCGUUUGUUUUUGUUUUUGUUAAAACAAAAUUGAGUUAUAUCUGAGACCUACUUUUGCGAACUAGUCCUAGGUUUUUAACCUGAUCGGAAUCAAACCACGUCAGAAAUAUUCCCUGGACACUGAAUAUCAAUAAUUAUCAAAAAAGUUUUACAAUUUAGAUUUUCACGCGAAACAGUACGUCAAUUAGCGUCUAUGCUAACGUUAGCCAAAUGUUAUUUGAAGCAUAACUCUGGAACGGAAUGAGAUAUCUUCACCAAACUCGGUACAAAUGUGUAUGAGCUCAAUCUUUGGUCAAAUAAAAAAAUGCGCAGCUCUGCUACUUGGGGGCGCUAUAAGACUGAAAAAACAUAAAAACAGUGAUAACUAAGCAACCGUUGGUCCCAUCUACUUGACAAUUGGUAUGCAGCAUCUUGGUCCAAAGGGCCACGAGUGUAUAUGAGGUCAUUUGCGUAUCUCAAAAAACAUGAAAUGAAAUUUAAACACCUAUUAAACAAGGUUAACGGAGGUCGAUCGGAACAAAAUUUGGUGGGCAUGUUCGACUCAUGGCCCUAAAGGUCUGUAAGAAUUUUGAAAGAAAUCGGUUCUAUGUUCUGAACAACAGAAAUCAUACAGUGUACUAACUGAUCAACAAUUGCAGGUACAAGCUAGAAGCUACUAACAAAGUGUAUCAUAAAUGAACAAUUAUUCAAUUAUUAUUAUUAUUAAAUUAUAAUUGUUACGGUCUAAAGUGGUCUAGGGAAGACCGCAACAGAACUAAAAAUGGUUGGUGGUGAGGCACUGUGCGACGGCAGAGAAAACGUCUCCAGACCCAGAAAAGGUUACAAUAACCCACACAGCCACGGUAGUUCAGCAAAAAGAGAAGUUUUUAUUUACCAUCUAAACAGAAGUAACAUUAAAGGGGUAUUAACUUCAGAAGGGGGCAAGGCCAAAAUAACAAACAUAAAGGAGCUAACUGUAUAAACCAACUGACUAAACUUCAAAGAAAAGAAAAGAAAAUACAGCAGAUUUAAACUAACUCCCUAAACUAACAUAAACAGGAGAAAAUAAGUAAUACAAAACAAAAUGGCACCCACCUUCCUACUAAACCCAAAACAAAAGACAUAAAUCAAAACUUAACAUUUAUAAUGGGCUACUGAAGUUAACACUCUGUAGAUUAAGGAUCAGUCUUAGCUGUAAUCAACGAAACCAACGGUAGAAACUCUACUUCAACAAUCUCAACACAAUUGAGAUAAAGGUACACCAAAGCACCAAUUAGUAGUGAUGUGACGUUCAACACCGAGGCUUCGAAGCCUGUAUCAAAAAAAAACCAAGCAUCUGGCAGUGAAGCACUGUACCGGAGCUUGAUUCAUUUUGCCAAAACCACGUGAUCUGUGACGUCCGAAGCUUCGUUUUCGCACACAGCCACAUGACUGCUUCGUAUUCUGUUUCAAAUAACGCAAACCACUUGCGCAGUUUGAAGUGUCACUCACUUCUUUGAUAAGAAUGAAUCAAUAUACGAAUAAAUUAGUGGUGGGCCGUUAUCGGCGUUAACGUGCUGCGUUAACGUGAGAGUCUUAUCGGGCGAUAAAAAAAAUAUCGCCGUUAAUCUAUUCUCAAAGUUGGGUUGGGAGCUGGGUCUAUACUACGCAAACUAUGAUGACUUUCACCUCGAUAUUUUAGCGCGGAUGUAUACCUAGCCGAAUUGCACUGUAGGGGGCGAGAACGAGUCUUCGAACCUGUGUGUAUGCGUGCUAACAUGGAUGCAGUUAUGAAGCCGCCGGGUUUGCUUCAGGGCAAAUUUAUUUUUAAGAAGUUACAUGGUCGCGCUCUCUGUAUCGCGCGCACAGCGGAGUUCCGCCCCGGUUCGCACACACACACACGCACACACACAAACAAACAAACAAACGUAAGCGCACACACAAGUGAACACACUCCCACUCCUAUUUGUUAAUAUUAAGCCGCAAAACGUCUAUUUAAAUAUGACUUCUGUGUGUCUCUGUGUUAAUGUAUGGCGCAGACGCGCGGGUUUGUUCACUACUCAUACAGAAGACCGCGUGACGCUUGCGGCGAUAUUAACGUCUGUCCUCUCACUAAAUGAGGACAUAAAUACAUGAACAACAUCUCCAGAACUAUCCUCACGGCAACCCGUCAAAAUAAAAGUUCGGUUUCACUUGAAGACAUUGGGCAACGUAAUAGACUACUACUACUAAAACUAUUAAAACCUUAUCUUUAAGGAAUAAUCAUACAAUGUCUUCAAUGUUAUUAUCAAUAUUAAAUUCUUGAUGACUGCUAGUUGUUUACUUAUCUACUUGGCAGAAUUCAAAUGAGCCAUUUUAAUCUAGAUUAAUCUAGAUUAAUUCCAAGAUUACAGUGAGAUUAAUCUAGAUUAAAAAAAUUAAUCUAUGCCCACCACUAGAAUAAAUAUAUGCAUGUGUAGUUUUGUGUAUGUUCAUUUUGUAUUAAUUCCCGCUUUAGCUGACCAUUCUGAUAAUCUUCUUUUAUUUUGAUCAUUUAUGCAUAUCAUAUAUUCUUGCCUAUUUUUUCCACAAAUUCAUUCACAGACUCAUUUAUUCAUAUAUUGUGUAAAACAAUGACUGACAUGUAAAAGAUUAAUUUAUAUAGAGUUAAUACUUUCUUUGCUUUAUUUUCAUAGCACAAACUGAUUUAUUAUCUGAAACAAUCCAAAAAUGGCUGGGUCGUCUGGGAGGCAAAGGCAGCUAUUUCCACCUUUUGACCACAAGAUGUCGUUAGUGUGCAUCGUCUUGAAAAGCUUCGAGUUAUGAACCUUUUUACGAUACAGUUGAGGUGAAGCCUCGGUGCUUCGCAAAGCUUAAUUUUUCCAUCACUACCAAUUAGGGCUUCACAAUAAAUUCUGAAGUCUAAAGAUGAGUUCUCAGCCGUCGCACACCAUCCAGCCACCACCAACUGCUGGUCUGAGUAGCAGCUGAAGUUUAAGUACUCGCUCUCCUCUCCCAUUCCCCAAUCACAGCAGAGCUCGUAAUUAGUCUCAGGUGGGAGAUACAGGUUCUGCAGAGAGAGAGAGAGAGAGAGAGAAAACAAGGCAUGGAGUUCACACAACAGAACCUUACGGCUCUGGACGUAACACCCCCACCACCAAAGAAUAUAACCACCCAUUGGUUAUAAGCACAAAAGUACAAAACACUCAUUAACCAUCCAAGGAAUGAACUCUAGACAGGGCAUCAGCAAUGAUGUUAUCAGCUCCUUUCUUGUGACGGAUGUCAAGAUGAUAUUCCUGUACAAUUAAAGACCAACACAUUAAACAUUGAUUAGUGUUAGACAUACGAUUUAGAAACACCAACGGAUUGUGAUCUGUAUACACCAGAAUUGGGGCAUCACUUCCACCCAGGUAGACUUCGAAAUGUUGGAGGGCUAAUAACAAUGCUAGAGCCUCCUUCUCGAUUACACUAUAAUUUUGCUCACACUUAUUGAAUUUCUUUGAGAAAAAUGAUACAGGAUGGUCGAUUCCACCUUCAUCCUCUUGCAUCAGGACCGCCCCGGCUCCUACAGCACUGGCAUCAACCUGCAAUUUGAACUGCUGAGAGAAAUUUGGUGCAGAAAGAACAGGUGCUGUACAGAGAAGAUCUUUUGCAGCAUUGAAUGCUUCCAUACACUCUGGAGUCCACACAAAUCUCCUAGAAGUGCUUAAAAGCCUGAUACUACAAUUGUUUGAAUUCACUCCGCUCAGAGACAGGAUUGUAUUGAGGCACAGAUCUGGAAAAAAUUUCUGCUGCAUUGAAGGUUCCCAAGAGCACAGUGGCUUCCAUAAUUCUCAAAUGGAAGAAGUUUAGCAAAACCAGGACUCUUCCAAGAGCUGAUCGCCCAGCCAAACUGAUCAAUUGAUGGAGAAGGGCCUUGUCUAGACUGGUGACCAAGAAGCUGAUGGUCACUCUAAUUGAGCUCCAUGAUCAUAUAUGCAGAUGGGAGAAACCUACAGAAGGACAAACAUCACUGCAACACUCCACCGAUCUGGGCUUUAUAGCGGUGUGGCCAGACUCAAUCCUCUCCUCAGUGAAGACACUUAAAAACACACUUGAAAUUUGCAAAAUAGCACCUAAAGGACCCUCAGGCUCUGAGAAACAAGAUUCUCUGGUCUGAUCAACCUCAAUUCCAAGCAUCAUGUUUGAAGGAAUCCAGCUCUGCUCAUCAACUGCAGAGCAGCAUCCAAAAAGUAAAGUGUGCUGGGAGCAGCCUCAUGUUGUGGGGGAGUUUUUCAGAGGAAGGGACUGAGGGACUCGUCAGAGUAGAAGAAAAGCUCAGUGCACCAAAAUAUAGAGAUAGCCUUAAUGAAAACCCAGUCCAGAGUAUUCAGAACCUGGGCCGAAGGUUCAACUUCCAACAUGACAACGACCCUAAACACAACACAGCCAAGGCAACACAGGAAUGGCUAAGGAACAACUCUGUGAAUGUCCUAGAGUGGCCCAGCCAGAGCCCCGACUUGAACCCUAUUGAACAUCUCUGGAGAGACCUGAUAAUGGCUGUCCACUGAUGGUCCCCAUCCAACCUGACCGAGCUUGAGAGGAUUUGCAAAGAAAAAUGGCAGAAAAUCCCCUAAUACAGGUGUGCUAUGCUUGUUGUGUCAUACCCAAAAAGACUCGAGGCUGUAAUUGAUGCCAAAGGUACUUCAACUAAGUACUUAGUAAAGGGUCUGAAUACUUAUGUAAAUGUGAUAUUUCCGUUUUUUCUUUUUAAUAAAUUUACAUUUCUAAAAUUCUGUUUUCACUUUGUCAUUAUGAGGUACGAAGUGUAGAUUACUGAGAAAAAAAAAA